RNAcentral lists this ribosomal RNA (254 nucleotides) under uncultured bacterium. RNAcentral's name for it is "partial 16S ribosomal RNA". It matches the Rfam family "Bacterial small subunit ribosomal RNA", at positions 524 to 776 of the family's 1533-position model. The record is from RNAcentral.
UACGAAGGGGGCUAGCGUUGCUCGGAAUCACUGGGCGUAAAGGGUGCGUAGGUGGGCAGGUAAGUCAGUGGUGAAAUCUCCGAGCUUAACUCGGAAACUGCCGUUGAUACUAUUUGUCUUGAAUAUUGUGGAGGUAAGCGGAAUAUGUCAUGUAGCGGUGAAAAUGCUUAGAUAUGACAUAGAACACCAAUUGCGAAGGCAGCUUACUACACAACGAUUGACGCUGAGGCACAAAAGCGUGGGGAUCAAACAGG